Molecule: ribosomal RNA, 491 nt
Filed under: Cormocephalus nitidus nitidus
Lineage: Eukaryota; Metazoa; Arthropoda; Chilopoda; Scolopendromorpha; Scolopendridae
Description: partial 16S small subunit ribosomal RNA
Rfam family: Bacterial large subunit ribosomal RNA
Source: RNAcentral
GUCUUUAUGAUCAUAAUAUAAAGUCUGACCUGCCCUUUGUGAAAUAUUAACGGCCGCAGUACUAUGACUGUGCUAAGGUAGCAUAAUAAAUAGGUUAUUAAUUAUGAUCUGGAAUGAAAGGUUUGACGUGAUAAUAGCUUUCUUAUUUAUUUUUCUGAAAUUGAAUUAUUAGUAAAAAUGCUAAUAUUAUAUGAAAAGACGAGAAGACCCUAUUAAGUUUUACAUUAUUUGCUUAUAUAUUUAGUAAAAUAAAAGUUGAUUAAUGUUUGAUUGGGGCGAUUAUUAACACUAACGUUAAGAUUUUAAUUUUAAAUAAAAAUUUAAGAACCAAAAAUUUUGGGUGUUAGAAUAAAUUACUAUAGGGAUAACAGCAUAAUUAUAUUGGAGAGUUCUUAUUGAUAAUAUAGAUUAUGACCUCGAUGUUGGAUCAGGAUAUUCUAUUGGGUGCAGGGGCUUAGUAAGAUGGUCUGUUCGACCUUUAAAUUCCUACG